RNAcentral lists this long non-coding RNA (1007 nucleotides) under Sus scrofa (pig). RNAcentral's name for it is "lncRNA (ENSSSCG00025000347.1, ENSSSCG00035039321.1)". Lineage: Eukaryota; Metazoa; Chordata; Mammalia; Artiodactyla; Suidae. The record is from RNAcentral.
AAACAUCGUGACCAACUUAACUCCUCUUUCAGGAAAUGUUCACUUCUUUCCAUUAAUCUCAUGUUCUCUUUGUAACAAUUUAGAAAUCAUAGGACUUGAAGUUCUGAUAAAGAAGAAUGAUGUAUGAGUUUUUUGGUUUUUUUUUUUUUUGUAUUUUUGUUUGUUGUUUGUUUUUUUUUUUACUAGUUAGUUUGGGAUUCUAAAGACUUGGGAAAGACACUUAGAAGGUUCACCAGCAGAGAAUGACUGUUUCCAAAGUUCUUAGUGAUAAAUGAUUUAUGAAGCCGGCAUUCAGUUUCAAGAUGUAAAGUAAUAGUGCAAGUGGGCUGGGGGCGGAGAUCAUCCCUCAGAGAUAUACAUCGUUUCCUAUUUUUUCCUCCACGAAAUAGCUUAUUUCAAAAAGGAAAAUCAGAACCUGUAGGGAGAGCCCUGCGAAUUUUUUUCCCCUGUCAGCAACAAUAAAAUACUUUGUCAAUAGAGGCAACUUCAUGGAGAAGUUUUAUGGGAAGACACAGAACUGAGCCUGACAAGAGGGAGAAACUGACGUGCUUGAUGUGCGAGUGGUCAAAGUUGAAAGCUGGUCCCUCAGUGAGCGCUCGCUGUUGGGUUGCAGGAUUUUUCUAAAGGGUCGUCUAGUCAGUCAGAGGUUUCCCUGGCUCCGUGAUCACCCAGGAGUGUCACAGCAGCCGAGAAAGGCUUUCCAUUAGAUAAUGAGUUAUGAAAUAUGUCUCACACUGGAAAAACCAGUCAUCUGCUGAUGUCAUUCUGCUUCCAACCAAUCCCAAACAAAGCCCCAGCCCUCCCUGCUUGACUGGUACCAAUGUGUGACUGUACAAAUAAGUAGUACAGUAUAAAAAUUCUCAGUGCCAAUGCCAUGAAGAGGAACUCCGAAGGCACUUGCCACAUGAUACAAGAGUCUGCUGGUGAAAGAGAGAGGACCGGAAAGCCACAAACCUACAGCCCCGACUGCAUCCAGAGAGGGAACCUGCAAACAAACUUCACAGCAA